GGGUGUAGCUCAGCGGUAGAGCGCAUGCUUAGCAUGCAUGAGGUCCUGGGUUCAAUCCCCAGUGCCUCCA
RNAcentral lists this transfer RNA (70 nucleotides) under Camelus bactrianus (Bactrian camel). It matches the Rfam family "tRNA". From Rfam's summary of the family: Transfer RNA (tRNA) molecules are approximately 80 nucleotides in length. Their secondary structure includes four short double-helical elements and three loops (D, anti-codon, and T loops). Further hydrogen bonds mediate the characteristic L-shaped molecular structure. tRNAs have two regions of fundamental functional importance: the anti-codon, which is responsible for specific mRNA codon recognition, and the 3' end, to which the tRNAs corresponding amino acid is attached (by aminoacyl-tRNA synthetases). tRNAs cope with the degeneracy of the genetic code in two manners: having more than one tRNA (with a specific anti-codon) for a particular amino acid; and 'wobble' base-pairing, i.e. permitting non-standard base-pairing at the 3rd anti-codon position. Lineage: Eukaryota; Metazoa; Chordata; Mammalia; Artiodactyla; Camelidae. RNAcentral also lists the same sequence under 2 other names. The record is from Rfam by way of RNAcentral.